RNAcentral lists this ribosomal RNA (497 nucleotides) under uncultured bacterium. RNAcentral describes it as "partial 16S ribosomal RNA". It matches the Rfam family "Bacterial small subunit ribosomal RNA", at positions 28 to 507 of the family's 1533-position model. The record is from RNAcentral.
GAUGAACGCUGGCGGCGUGCCUAAUACAUGCAAGUCGAGCGAACAGACGAGGAGCUUGCUCCUCUGACGUUAGCGGCGGACGGGAGAGAAACACGUGGAUAACCUACCUAUAAGACUGGGAUAACUUCGGGAAACCGGAGCUAAUACCGGAUAAUAUAUUGAACCGCAUGGUUCAAUAGUGAAAGACGGUUUUGCUGUCACUUAUAGAUGGAUCUGCGCCGCAUUAGCUAGUUGGUACGGUAACGGCUUACCAAGGCAACGAUGCGUAGCCGACCGGAGAGGGUGAUCGGCCACACUAGAGCGGAGCCACGGACCAGACGCCUACGGGAGGCAGCAGUAGGGAAUCGUCCGCAAAGGGGGAAAGCCUUACGGAGCAGCGCCGCGUGAGUGAUGGAGGUCUUGGGAUCGUGAAACUCGGUUAUGAGGGGAAAACAAAUGUGUAAUUAGCUAUGCACGGCUUGACGGUACCUAAUCAGAAAGCCACGGCUAACUACGUG